RNAcentral lists this long non-coding RNA (2659 nucleotides) under Canis lupus familiaris (dog). RNAcentral describes it as "lncRNA (ENSCAFG00000059472.1)". The record is from RNAcentral. Lineage: Eukaryota; Metazoa; Chordata; Mammalia; Carnivora; Canidae.
UUUUUUUUUUUUUUUUUUUUUAAAGAUUUUAUUUAUUCAUGAGAGAGAGGCAGAGACAUAGGCAGAGAAAUGCAGGAGCCUGAUGUGGGACUCCAUCCCAGGACUCCAAGACCAUGCUCUGGGCGGAAGGGAGGCACUAAACCGCUGAGCCAUCCAGGGAUUCCCAGCCUCACCUCUUUUAUUUAAACUGUGCACCCAGUCACACUAAGCUAUCUGCAGUUUUCCCAAAUGUACUUGUCCACUUCUCUGCUUUCGCUUUGACAAAGAGGCACAUAGAGGCACAUAAUCUUUACAAUAUUAGAUACUACCUUCUCAACUUAUUGCCUCUGGUAUAAACUUUGUUUCUUUAACCAAUACUUAUUUAAAGUCUAAUACUGCCAGGUAGAGCACUGGGGUUGGGUAAUAUAAAAAUCACUGAAAUCAUGUUCUCUGCCUUCAAGGAUCUCACCACACAAAAAAGGAUAAGUUGUGUUGUAAAUGCUAAUAAAGGAAGAGUAUUGAGAUGCUGAGUAGUGGAACCUUGCACCAUCCAGAUGAGUAUCUCAGACCAAGAGUCCAGUAAGUAUAAAAAAUGUGAACAAUCAAUAGAGAACAAUAAAAAAUUACAAGUUCAUGUGUUUUGAAGCAUAGUUCUAAAAUUCCGACCUCACCAUUUUAUAAACCUAUAAACAAACCUGCAUUGGUUAAUCUAACAUCAGUUAAGCAUGUAGAAUAAGUAGAAUAUAUCAAAGAACUUCAGCUGAGAGUUUCCACAAUAAACGUUAUGUCCAGUAUUUCUUUUUUUAAAAUAAUUUUUACCAUAAUUUUUAAAAAAGAUUUAUUUAUUUAUUCAUGAGAGACAGAGAGAGAGAGAGAGAGGCAGAGACACAGGCAGAGGGAGAAGCAGGCUCCAUGCAGGGAGCCCGACAUGGGACUCAAUCCUGGGACUCCAGGAUCACACCCUGGGCUAAAGGCAGUGUUAAACCCCUGAGCCACCCGGGCUGCCCUUACGUCUAGUAUUUCUUAAAUAUUACUGUAUUUAGUGUUUCCUUUUGCUUCAGGAAUCCCAUCGAAAUUCCCAAAAUUUUGAGAAAGAUGGAAGUCAGAAUAAAGGUAUGAAAUGUAAUAUUUAAAAUCCUUUUAAAACCUGCAAGCUGGAGCACCUGGGUGGCUCAGUGGGUUAAGCAUCUGUCUUUGGCUCAGGUCAUGAUGCCAGAUUCCUGGGAUGGAGUCCUGCCUUGGGCUCCCUGCUCAGUGGUGAGUCUGCUUCUUCCCUCUCCCUUUGCCCCUUCCCCCUGCUUGUAUGGGCUCACUCAUGCUCUCUCUCUCAAUAAAUAAAUAAAAUCUUAGCCCCCUCCAAAACCUUGCAAGCUAAGUGAACUUCAUUCUUUAUUAAGAAUACAAUAAAGGGUGUAAAAGUUGGUUUUAAAAAAGGAAAACUAUGUGCUUAUUUGCUUGUAUGUGUACAGAAUAUUUCUCAAGGGUAUCCAACAACUUGAAAUACGAUUGCCUUAGGAGAGAGGAAGAGACACAGGCAGAAAGAAAAGCAGGCUCCAUGCAGGGAGCCUGAUGUGGGUCUCGAUCCCAGGAUUCCAGGAUCAUGCCCUGGGCUGAAAGCAGGCGCUAAACCACUGAGCCACCCAGGCAUCCCUAAAAAUAUGUCUUGAUGAAUAUUCUAGCUUUUCAGUUAGAGAACUCAGUACCUUUAAGCAGUGUUAUUUAUAUAAAAUACAAAAAGAUUAGCAAUAAUUUAGCAUGUGAUUUUUUUUUUGUUAAGUGGAAUCAUAUACAUGCUGUUUGAAACAUCUUUUUUUUUAAACUUCUCUCUUUCAAUUUUGUCAUCUUACCGUAUUAGAAUAAAUAAAUCUACCUUAUUAUUUUUAAUAGCUUCAUAAUGUAUAGUAUGCAGGCAUUAUAAUUUAUUUGACCAUUCCUGUAUUGAUGAACAUUUUGGCAAUUUCCAGUGUUUUACAAACAAUGCUGCAGAGAAUUUCUCAAAUACAGCUAUAGACACUCAUGCCAGUGUUUCUGUAACGUGAACAUCUAGAAUUGAAGUUGUUGGGUCAAUGUAAAUGCAGGUUUAAAAUUGUAGUAAGUAAGUACUCUUCCCUUUUUUGACUUUUGUGUUUCUUUUCUUCUCUCUUCAUUUCCCCUCUUUAUUAUGCUUAGGCAGCUUUCACCAAUCCAGCAUUAUAAAUGUAUUCUCCCGGGUUUUCUUCUAGUUGUUUCAUCAUUCCAUUUUUUACAUUUAAAUCUUUAUUCCCCUAGAACUGAUUUUGGUGUAAAUGCUGAGGAUUAUUUGUAAGUAAUUGAGUUUUAUUUUUCUUCAAAUGGUGAACCAGUUUUUCUGUUUUAAUACUGUUUUUCCUGACUAAUAUGAAAUGCUAUUUUUCUUAUAUACUGAAUUUACAUUAAAAUGCAUUUUAAAAAUUAUUUUUCAAAGAUUUUAUUUAUUUGAGAGAGAGAGAGAACACGGACAUGAGCAGGGGAAGGCAGAGGGAGAGGGAGAAGCAGACUCCCAGCUGAGCAGGGAACCUGACGCUCCCAGGACCCUGGGAUUAUGACCUGAGCAGAAGGCAGACACUUAACUGACUGAGCCACCCAGGCACCUCUUACGAUGCAUUUUAAUGUCUUGGGAGGCCUAGGUCCCCUCAGUGUUCCUCCUUUUUACAGUUUUUCC